UAUUGGAAAACUGUUACAAGGUCUCCCUAUACCACUAGUGCUCCUCACAGUCACAACUACCUUGUUACAUCUGCCUUCAAGUAUUCCAGUAUUACUGCUGCUUUUAAAGCUGUUUGUGGUUGUGUUUUUGGCAUUUGAUAGCCGGUGCUACAUCAAUUCAGUCCACCACUUCUCUAGUGGAAGAUGAGCUGUAACGAAGCAGCACUGCUGUGUUCUUCAGCACACCUCCUGAUCCAGAACGCACCAUUUUGCAUAUGGAAUGUGCACCCCAUAAUUUAAAUUAGCAUAGUCAGGUAAAAGGUUUGCUUUAAAGAAACCCCAUCUGCGCUUUGUAAGCAGGUGGUGGGAGGCUUUAACUGCCAAGUGCUGUUGAACUGUGUGAUUUAUUAUGGAGGGGAAUAAGUGAUGGAGUCCUUAUUACCCAGAACAAGUGAAAAGCCAGGAGAUUAAGAAAUCUUACAUGGGAAGAGAAUAACAAAGAGAUUAAGCACAGAACCCCAUGUAUUAAGUCAACCACCCUCCUGGUUCCUGCACUUUAGACACUUGUGUAACAAGCCUGAAUGAUUUGUGAUUUAUACAUUUAACUUUUCAUGCACUCUUUACCCUAGAAGUGAUGUGCUCUCUAUGACAUUGGGUUCAUUGCAGGUUACUUAGCUGCUGUUUUAUGAGGAUGGAUUGUUUCAUACAUAAAUGCAUUUCGUACCCAUCUGGAAUGUCCUCUGCCAGUUUUGGGUGUCCAUAACAUAACUACAGAGAAUAUACUGCCUGUUACGACUGGGUUUGGGUUUCUUUGUUCAGCUUCUCGCUCAUAGCUGCCAAGUGCCUGAUCUCUCUGUCACAGGUCUCUUUUUGAGCAAUGAGGCUGUGUUUUCUAUUGGGGUCCCUAAGGGAAGGUCCUUGAUAGGUGGGGGUCAGUUUGGGUUUGGUUAAAGUUCUCCCAUUGAAGUCACAGCACUCCUGUUAGUCACUUUCCAGAGCCAUAUGUGGCUGCCUCUGCUUGGCUCAGCCUUGAGCCUCACUACCCCACCCCACAUCCCUGAUGCUGUUGCAUCCUUUCAGGUUUGAAAGCUGGCUGAGGGAUUUAGCCCCACAGCUCUUUAUUCAGUUCAGUGAUGGGCAGUGUGAGAGCGCAGCAACCAAGCAAGCACUUCAUGCAGAGCCCCAUGACUGGAACUCCACACAGGACUGGGGACAUGGGGAUUCGUAUGUACCAUUCUGAGGGCAGGGUUGAUGCCUGAACCUCUCCCUUUACUUCAGAACUCUCCCUUUUUACUUGUUGAACGUGUUUAGAUUUGAUGAGGCAUGGAAUUGCAGAUUUAAGAAGAACCAAGCUCAGAAUCCAGCUAAUGCAAGACCCUAAACCAGUGCCUGCAAGUGGUUUUUGCGCAUACUUCACAGGAGUUGUAUCUGCUUGAUGGUUAGAGCAGAUUGUUGAGACAUUAAAAUGCAAAGAUAAAAGGUCUCUUGAUCAUCUGUCCACAGGAAUGGCUGUAAGCACAGUCUCAUACAUCCUUCUUUCCCUAAUGCUGUGGAACGCUCUGUUUCUCCAAAACAUGUGGAAUAGAAAUAGGCUUUCACACAUAGAAUCAUAGAACGGUUUGGGUUGGAAAGGACCUAAGACCAUCCAGUUCCAACCCCCCUGCCAUGGGCAGGGAUACCUCACACUAAACCAUGGCACCCAAGGCUCUGUCCAGCCUGGCCUUGAACACUGCAAGGGAUGGGGCAUUUACCACGUCUUUGGGCUCAUAGAACAUCAUGUACUGACAUGCUGUCUAAAUUGAAGCCUUGGUCGGUCACUGUGGUGUGUACGCUGUUGCUCCCUAGAUUUUGGAAGAGGGAGUUUCAAGCAGCAUAAGCAGCAAGUUCCUCCUUAGACAGAACAGGAUCUGAUUUUUCUCUUGAUCUUCUAAGUUGACAUUGUUUGAUGUUGACUGUUGAACUCAGCUGAAUGCACUGAUGAUGUUUACUGUCUUAGCAAAUAACAUCUGUCCACCUGUAAUGGACAUGGAAUACCCCGUGUUAACAUGACCAAACUUCCUAAUAUUGACACUAUGCUAAUGUGGGGUUUUCCUCGAGUUCAAUAUAUCAUUGCAGAUGGCUGAUGACACUGUGACAGAUGAACAGCAGUUGACUGAAAACAGCUCCAUUGAGCAAUGUUUAUUGACCAUUUUCAUAUACUGAACUCUUUGUACCAAACCAGCUGGUGACUAACAUUAGCCUUAUAUGUAUCAGCAUAUCUUGUUUUGCAAAGCACAGUAGCUUUGGAAUAGUUCCUGUCUUUCCUUUGUUAUUCCUGCUGCAGUCGAGCACUCAUUUGUGUCUUUGGAGUUGAAAUUAUUAAAGAGGUUUGGUUUAAAUACAGCUGUUCCCAGGUGUUUCUUGGCUUUUGGGUUGCCCGGGGCUGGCCAGCGUGUGAUGCUGUUCAGUGGAUGGGUGGUUGUAUGUCUAUAGAACAGCAAGGUUUGUAUGACCUGCAUCGGUGGGGAAGCUGCUUGUAUGCAGCUACAAUAGUGUGAGGCCCUGUGGUAGCAGCACAAAACUUGGUCGUAUUGCCUACAGCCAGCAAACACAGUCAGGUUUUAAAUAGAGAAGGAUGUGAUUGUGUUCAUUUUGAAGCCUCUGGGCUCCCCCAGUCUUUGGUGCCUUGUGCUGGAGCCCUUUAAGCACUGGACCUUGCUUGGAGGUGCAAAUAGUGCAGGAUCUUCUCAUCUCCAAAUGCAAAACCCAGUGUUAAAGGGACUUCAGGUGCGUGACAUGGAUGGGAGAGGAAAAGGCAGGAGUCAGAACGUGCCAUCACCUUGGAGGUGCAGAUUGCACAUCCUUUGCCUCAUCCUUUCCCUGUUUGUUUCAGUGGGAGGAGGAUAAUCGCUGCAGGGCAGAACCUCUCCAGGCAGAACCCAUGGACCAGAAGGCACUGACUUAGCCAGUUCCAUCACAUCCCAGCAGCCAGGCUCCUCUGGUGACCCCCAGGUUGCAUUGAGUAAGGACAUGUACCUCAAGAAGCCCAAGUGAUCUUGGCUUGCCUCUUACCCAGAGGGACCAAGCACUCAACAUGCUUCUGUUGAACAUGCUUAUGUUAUCUCUUGGCCUUAUGGAAAACAAGACACGAACUGGCUGGAGGUGGAUCUGUGAUCAAGUAGCUCUGUGUCCUCAGAGAACAUCUUGAGGGCCAUCUGCCUCCCCAACGGCUCCUUCUCCAACACCUUAGACAAGAUAAGCUUGGGUUGCACUGAGGUGUAGGUCCAACACCAACACCAGAUUGGGGUUCAGCAGAGCUCCUUUUAUGGGUCCUCAAUGGGGACAGGACAGACAGACAACUCCACCACCAUUGUGCUGGCAUCGAGGAAGCAUCACCAGAAGCAGGACAAGGACAAAUGUCUGGAUUCAGCCUCAGCCAAGAGGGGAUAAUGUGGUGAGACCUGGACCUCAAGGAGGAACCCUGUGCCCUUAGCAUGAGCAGACCCGGGAUGAUGUCCUCAUUCACCUUAUACCAGCAUGGAACUAAUGAUAUUUGGAGCACUAUGUGUGACGGAUAAAAACAUCCCAACCUACAAGAAGAAACGGCAUGGACUUACUUUUCAGACCUAUUUUGCAGUCAAUGUAGUUAAUUCAGCAUUCUGGCUCCUAAAGUCCUCACCAAGGUGAGACAGCCCCAAGCUGGUACCUCACCUUGCUCACAUCCAAAACCCAAGGGGCUCAGUGCAUGACACUUUCCAGCUGCUCCUGCAACCCAAAUAGCUCCUGAAAAACAUUCAACCUCAUGAGUCUCCUUCACUGAGACUGACUUGGUCAUUUGCAUGCAAGAGGCUAACCUUGACUUAAUGAAAUUAGCAGUAAUUAAUGGCACUGAUAAGCACAUAGAAAGGGAGUAAAUGAAGCUUGAUGCGUGCGGCUCCUGUGGACCGUGCGCCCACAGCACAGCACCCAGUGACACCUCGAGACAUGGAGGCCUCUGACUCUGGUUUCUCAUCACUGAGCUCAGCUGCUGUGUUGACUCACUGCUGAACAGCAGAACGGAGUAAAGCUGUUGAAAUACUGCAGUGUUGUAGGAGCCUGGGGACAAGUCCAGCUUCUCAGGUAAGAGAAGUGAUGAAGAGGACAGCCAAAUCCACUCUGCACCCAGGCAAACCUGUCCAGUGAGUCAUUGCUUAACAGCAUUUUGCUCCUUUGAAGUCCUCCAAGGGAUUUCCUGGUUUUUCCCUUUGUUCCCCUUCUACUUCUUUGGUGUUUUUUCUUUAAUCUUCUUGUUUUCAACACCCCACCUCGGCUGGAAGAAGAACAAGAUUAAGUUACAAGAUGAAAACCAGCAAUGAACCCGCAAACAACAGCAUCAGAGCAGACCUGUUGUAGGAGGGAUAUUUUAUACAAGUUAUCUGAAAGGCAAACAAACUCCAGCUGUGUUUCCUUGCUGCUAGCAUCAGUUGGAGACAAUAUGGACUUGUUUCUGCUGAAGAUCUCUCUGCCACGUCACCCUAAAUUUGACAGUUCACUGUCAACCUGCUUUGCAGCUGAUGCGCUCACGCAAGCCCCUCCAGAGCAGCUGUGGCUCUUCAGUAAGGCCCAGGACAUUUGAUACUAGGUCUGUCAAUAUGCUCCCAUCACAUGGUGUUUGUGUUCAGGAUGAAGUAAAAGACCUUCUUCCCAUACCAUGAUCCAUGUUACAUCCCAGCAGAUCCCUUCCUGGAGCAGCAGCCCCGUGUCAGGUUUGCACAACCAUCACAGCAACAAUCCCAGCCUGGACACACCAUGAGAUCUCAGCAUUG
Molecule: long non-coding RNA, 4763 nt
Organism: Pezoporus occidentalis (night parrot)
Lineage: Eukaryota; Metazoa; Chordata; Aves; Psittaciformes; Psittacidae
Exons: 3
Source: RefSeq, a predicted model, not a curated record